AAGACUAUAGACCUGCGGAGUACCUGCGGAGGGAUCAUUAAUGAAUUUUAGGACGUCCUUUUUAGAAGUCCGACCAUUUCAUUUUCUUACACUGUGCACACACUUCUUUUUACACACACUUUUAACACAUUAGUAUAAGAAUGUAAUAGUCUCUUAAUUGAGCAUAAACAAAAAUAAAACUUUCAGCAACGGAUCUCU
This 198-nucleotide unclassified non-coding RNA is filed under the name soil metagenome. RNAcentral's name for it is "partial contains 5.8S ribosomal RNA, internal transcribed spacer 2, and large subunit ribosomal RNA". The record is from RNAcentral.